RNAcentral lists this transfer RNA (73 nucleotides) under Rhodopirellula sp. TMED11. Its description in RNAcentral is "tRNA-Lys". It matches the Rfam family "tRNA". Rfam says of the family: Transfer RNA (tRNA) molecules are approximately 80 nucleotides in length. Their secondary structure includes four short double-helical elements and three loops (D, anti-codon, and T loops). Lineage: Bacteria; Pseudomonadati; Planctomycetota; Planctomycetia; Pirellulales; Pirellulaceae. The record is from RNAcentral.
GAGAGUGUAGCUCAGUUGGUAGAGCCUUCGACUUUUAAUCGAAUGGUCCUGGGUUCGAGCCCCAGCACUCUCA